GGUCUCGUAGCUCAGCUGGUAGCGCAUGCGUGUACAAAAGCCUAGGCGGCGUCCAUGCGUGGGUCCGAAUCCCACCGAGACUG
This 83-nucleotide transfer RNA is filed under the name Echinostoma caproni. It matches the Rfam family "tRNA". Rfam says of the family: Transfer RNA (tRNA) molecules are approximately 80 nucleotides in length. Their secondary structure includes four short double-helical elements and three loops (D, anti-codon, and T loops). Further hydrogen bonds mediate the characteristic L-shaped molecular structure. tRNAs have two regions of fundamental functional importance: the anti-codon, which is responsible for specific mRNA codon recognition, and the 3' end, to which the tRNAs corresponding amino acid is attached (by aminoacyl-tRNA synthetases). tRNAs cope with the degeneracy of the genetic code in two manners: having more than one tRNA (with a specific anti-codon) for a particular amino acid; and 'wobble' base-pairing, i.e. permitting non-standard base-pairing at the 3rd anti-codon position. Lineage: Eukaryota; Metazoa; Platyhelminthes; Trematoda; Plagiorchiida; Echinostomatidae. The record is from Rfam by way of RNAcentral.